Molecule: non-coding RNA, 299 nt
Organism: Pelobates cultripes (western spadefoot toad)
Lineage: Eukaryota; Metazoa; Chordata; Amphibia; Anura; Pelobatidae
Source: the annotation of a GenBank genome assembly
GCAACUUAAAAUAUUUUUUUUCCAAACACUUCAGUAUCCAGUGGCUAUAAGGUUCCCUCUGAGAUGUUAAGGUUUUCCAGUCUCCCUCCACUGCUUCAUGUACACCGUGCACGUGUCUUACUGAUACUUGGCCUGGUGAUUAAGUUAAUAGUUUAGAGAUGAUCCAUUUAAAAAUAAGGUCAGGUAUCAGGUAUAGCAGAACAACAACAAGUACAGAUACAUUGUAUUACAUGCUACCUUACGUUUUAACCUGAUUCCCAACAGCAUAUGUUCUCUUCAACGUGACUACAAGACACGUG